This 253-nucleotide ribosomal RNA is filed under the name uncultured bacterium. RNAcentral's name for it is "partial 16S ribosomal RNA". It matches the Rfam family "Bacterial small subunit ribosomal RNA", at positions 524 to 776 of the family's 1533-position model. The record is from RNAcentral.
UACGUAGGGUGCAAGCGUUAAUCGGAAUUACUGGGCGUAAAGCGUGCGCAGGCGGUUAUGCAAGACAGAUGUGAAAUCCCCGGGCUCAACCUGGGAACUGCAUUUGUGACUGCAUAGCUAGAGUACGGUAGAGGGGGAUGGAAUUCCGCGUGUAGCAGUGAAAUGCGUAGAUAUCUGGAGGAACACCGGUGGCGAAGGCGGCAUCCUGGACCAACACUGACGCUGAGGAGCGAAAGCCAGGGGAGCAAACGGG